This 492-nucleotide ribosomal RNA is filed under the name uncultured bacterium. RNAcentral describes it as "partial 16S ribosomal RNA". It matches the Rfam family "Bacterial small subunit ribosomal RNA", at positions 29 to 507 of the family's 1533-position model. The record is from RNAcentral.
ACGAACGCUGGCGGCGUGCUUAACACAUGCAAGUCGAACGGUGAAGCGCCUUCCUUUUGGUGGGUGUGGAUGAGUGGCGAACGGGUGAGUAACACGUGAGUAACCUGCCCCCUUCUUCUGGAUAACCGCAUGAAAGUGUGGCUAAUACGGGAUAUUCUGGGUCUGUCGCAUGAUGGGUCUGGGAAAGAUAUUGUUUCGGUGGGGGAUGGGCUCGCGGCCUAUCAGCUUGUUGGUGGGGUGAUGGCCUACCAAGGCGGUGACGGGUAGCCGGCCUGAGAGGGUGGACGGUCACACUGGGACUGAGACACGGCCCAGACUUCUACGGGAGGCAGCAGUGGGGAAUAUUGCACAAUGGGCGCAAGCCUGAUGCAGCGACGCCGCGUGAGGGAUGGAGGCCUUCGGGUUGUGAACCUCUUUCGCCAGUGAAGCAGGCCUGCCUCGUUUGUGGGUGGGUUGACGGUAGCUGGAUAAGAAGCGCCGGCUAACUACGUG